Molecule: ribosomal RNA, 437 nt
Filed under: uncultured bacterium
Lineage: Bacteria
Description: bacterial SSU rRNA
Rfam family: Bacterial small subunit ribosomal RNA
Source: RNAcentral
GCACAAUGGGGGAAACCCUGAUGCAGCCAUGCCGCGUGUGUGAAGAAGGCCUUCGGGGUUGUAAAGCACUUUCAGUAGGGAGGAAGGUAGUGUAGUUAACACCUGCACUAUUUGACGUUACCUACAGAAGAAGCACCGGCUAACUCCGUGCCAGCAGCCGCGGUAAUACGGAGGGUGCGAGCGUUAAUCGGAAUUACUGGGCGUAAAGCGCAUGCAGGCGGCCUGUUAAGUCAGAUGUGAAAGCCCGGGGCUUAACCUCGGAAUUGCAUUUGAAACUGGCAGGCUAGAGUCUUGUAGAGGGGGGUAGGAAUUUCAGGUGUAGCGGUGAAAUGCGUAGAGAUCUGAAGGAAUACCAGUGGCGAAGGCGGCCCCCUGGACAAAGACUGACGCUCAGAUGCGAAAGCGUGGGGAGCAAACAGGAUUAGAUACCCUGGUAG